RNAcentral lists this non-coding RNA (28 nucleotides) under Mus musculus (house mouse). Lineage: Eukaryota; Metazoa; Chordata; Mammalia; Rodentia; Muridae. The record is from RNAcentral.
UGCCUGUAACUACAGCUUCAGGAGAUCC